RNAcentral lists this ribosomal RNA (585 nucleotides) under Anostomoides laticeps. RNAcentral's name for it is "partial 16S ribosomal RNA". It matches the Rfam family "Bacterial large subunit ribosomal RNA", at positions 1812 to 2603 of the family's 2925-position model. The record is from RNAcentral. RNAcentral also lists the same sequence under 1 other name. Lineage: Eukaryota; Metazoa; Chordata; Actinopteri; Characiformes; Anostomidae.
AACAUCGCCUUCUGCAAAAYUCAAUGUAUAGGAGGUCCUACCUGCCCAGUGACUGUUAGUUAAACGGCCGCGGUAUUUUGACCGUGCUAAGGUAGCGCAAUCACUUGUCUUUUAAAUGAAGACCUGUAUGAAUGGUGUAACGAGGGCUUAACUGUCUCCCUUCUCUAGUCAAUGAAAUUGAUCUACCCGUGCAGAAGCGGGUAUAAAAAUACAAGACGAGAAGACCCUUUGGAGCUUAAGACAAAAAGCCAACCGUGUUAAGGGCCCCAAAUAAAAAUAAGCCAAACAAAACAGCAACUGGCCAGCGUCUUCGGUUGGGGCGACCGCGGGGAAAAACAAAGCCCCCAUGUGGACUGGAAAUAUUCCUAAAACCAAGAGAGACAUCUCUAAGUCACAGAACAUCUGACCUAAAGAUCCGGCCCAUAAGCCGAUCAACGGACCAAGUUACCCUAGGGAUAACAGCGCAAUCCUCUUCAAGAGUCCAUAUCGACAAGAGGGUUUACGACCUCGAUGUUGGAUCAGGACAUCCUAAUGGUGCAGCCGCUAUUAAGGGUUCGUUUGUUCAACGAUUAAAGUCCUACGUGA